CUCACAAUCUUCUUUGUUCAAUCUUCGUGAAUUCCAAAUGGAGUUGGAUGAAGUCAAAUCUAUUACAUUAGAUCUGGGAAAUGGCAAGUAUGUUAAACUGUUUCAGACAUUCUCUAUCAAACAAAUAAUUGGAGCACAAGGCGACAUACUGAGUUGUCCGAGAGGUGAUCAGAUGAUUGUUAUUCCAUCAGGAGCUCUCCAGUCAGAUACAGAAAUUGAAGUUACAUUUUAUCGAGUUGUUGAGUCUGUUGGCCUGGACAGUUCGGAAUUUGUGUCAAACCUGAUGGAGAUCACUCCACAUCAACUCAAUUUUAAGAAGUCAGUUGAGAUUUUGAUGCGUCAUCAUCUGUUUAUUGAAGGCGACAGCACUAAAGUUACAGUCUUGUUUCACAGUGGUAAACCAACAGACAGUAGCUUUACAUCUCUCUGUCAGCUGUCGUCAGUUAACGACACUGCUUUGACCAAUUUCAUGACAAUGUCUCUUUGGGAAGAUUUCGUUUACAUUGAAACUUCUCAUAUCUGUAGGUUUGGCUUGCAUUGUAAAGGCAAGUCUUUUAUUGAAGUUUGGGCAUCAUUUCAUACACCCAAGAUUCCACACCCUGAACAGCAUAGUGUUACUCUGUGUCUUUCAGCUAGUCGACCCGACCCCAAUGAUGAGAAAUUUAUUCAUAUGGCUGGUGGUGAAUUAGAGUGCAGGUAUUCUACAUUGCUGCCAUUGGUUUGUGAAGAACAGGAAGAUUUACACGUGACUGUUCGGAUUCCUUCAGAUAUGGAAGGGUGGAAAGCUAGGGAAGAUUUAGAUCUAAGUCAAACAAUUUCUUACAAAAGCAUUCGAAACUUGGUUGUGCUGGGUAUGCAAUAUAUUAGUACAGACUUCGGUUUCAUAAAAGAGAAAACAUCAAAAGUUGAUGUGAUGGAUUUUGCUCCCAUUUUUAUGUUAAAUAACAUUCGAUGCAUUCUGAUUCCAUCAGCUUUUCAAACAUCUGAUUUGGGCACAAUUUCAAGUGGCAAUCAGCAAACAAAUGUUCCCGAGCCAACUGUUGUUGGUGAUGGUACUUUCACUAGUUUGUCAGACAGUCGACAUGCUAAAGCUUUGGAUAGAAUUUCUCCUGGAUCCAAGUCACUAGACACAAGCACUACUUCACUCAAACAAGAUGUCUCUCUAUCUCUGCCGGUUUCAGCUGGCCUUGGAUGGAAUCGUGAAUAUAUUGGCUUAAAUCGACCUGUUACAGACAGUGACAUUGGCUUUCUGUCUGGAUAUGACCAAGUUGCCAAGAAGUCACUUCAAAUAGGAUGGCUGUUGCUACAAGAUGAUGGAUACUCAAUGAAAGACAUCAGUGUAGUUAUGAAGGAUGUUCUAGAUCAACCAGAUUGUGUGAAAGUCACUUAUAUUAUUGAAGAAUGGAGGCAAAGGAGGAAUGAAGCAACUGCUAGAGCAUUGGUUGAUAUCUGCUGUCAUCGAUCAGUAGGUGGUGACAGGUCAUAUAUUGAACAUUCGCUCAUGUUUUCUACUCACUCUCACAGUGCUUCUCAUGAUGAGCAUUACGUUCACUCUGCAGUCAAAGCGAGUGCACCAGCAGCAUUGGAUUCAGAGUUUUGUGGUAAGGAGGCUGCAUGCUCAAAUAAUGUUGCCAGUCAAACAUUGAUUUGAACAACGGCAUUGACUCUAAGGUGGUUAGUUACCUGUAUGUGUAAAUCUAGCCAGAGACUGCUUUAGUGUGUUACAUUGUCUUCAUGAGUUAAUGAUACUUUAUCUAUUUACAUCAAUUAACACAGGUAGAGUUUGUAGUUGUAAAAUUUGUUUGCUAAUAUGGUCCAGCUGGACACUUGACUGCGUGAAGCAUUGGUGUAGAAUACAAUUUACUGUACUUUCUUUCUUCAUGCUUAUAGCUUUUGUGUUUUAUUUGGUUGCGCUGUACGUUGAUUGUAAGCUCACCCAUGUUGCUGUGCAUCAACACACGUUGUAUUGUAUUUUUCCACUUGUAGCAGCAACUGGAAAUGACAGCUGCAGGUUACAGUUGCCUCUACUUGCUGACAGACUGAAGAAUGCUGCUCAACAAGAUCAUCUUGGGGGCUUCAUAAGACCCUGGUGUGACAUUCCUGUUUGUGUUGUUUCAGAAGUUUCUCUUUUGU
RNA transcript from Corticium candelabrum, 2133 nucleotides. RefSeq lists it as uncharacterized. The record is from RefSeq and is a predicted model, not a curated record. NCBI's taxonomy places the organism in Eukaryota, Metazoa, Porifera, Homoscleromorpha, Homosclerophorida, Plakinidae. The transcript is spliced from 4 exons.